GUGGUAAUAAAUGCUGGAAUAAAAAUCUACAGCUACCAUUUAUUACACUAUCAUGUUCUAUGCUGACCUACUGUAGUAAUGUCAAUCCUGACCCAAUCUCUUUAGGGACUGUAAACAUACCCGUCCCAGGGACUGUGAACACACCCGUCCCGCCCAGUUUUGACUAUCCAGCUACCUCCACACUAACCAGUCCGUGGAGAGCAAGUCUAACCGGCAUGCACGACAUCAACGCAAAAGCACAGCGC
RNAcentral lists this long non-coding RNA (245 nucleotides) under Ananas comosus (pineapple). RNAcentral's name for it is "long non-coding RNA (ACOM_LNC009872)". The record is from RNAcentral. Lineage: Eukaryota; Viridiplantae; Streptophyta; Magnoliopsida; Poales; Bromeliaceae.